AGUUUGAUCCUGGCUCAGAAUCAACGCUGGCGGCGUGCCUCAGACAUGCAAGUCGAACGAUUAAAGCUCUCUUCGGAGAGUGUAUAGAGUGGCGCACGGGUGAGUAACACGUAAGUAAUCUGCCUUCGAGUGGGGAAUAACCCGGGGAAACCCGAGCUAAUACCGCAUAAUGCAGCGGCACCGCAAGGUGACAGUUGUUAAAGGAGCAAUCCGCUUGAAGAGGAGCUUGCGGCAGAUUAGCUAGUUGGUAAGGUAAUGGCUUACCAAGGCUACGAUCUGUAUCCGGUCUUAGAGGACGGUCGGACACACUGACACUGAAUAACGGGUCAGACUCCUACGGGAGGCAGCAGUCGGGAAUUUUGGGCAAUGGGCGAAAGCCUGACCCAGCAACGCCGCGUGAAGGAUGAAGUAUUUCGGUAUGUAAACUUCGAAAGAAUAGGAAGAAUAAAUGACGGUACUAUUUAUAAGGUCCGGCUAACUACGUGCCAGCAGCCGCGGUAAUACGUAGGGACCAAGCGUUGUUCGGAUUUACUGGGCGUAAAGGGCGCGUAGGCGGCGCGGUAAGUCACUUGUGAAAUCUCUGA
Molecule: ribosomal RNA, 584 nt
Filed under: uncultured bacterium
Lineage: Bacteria
Description: bacterial SSU rRNA
Rfam family: Bacterial small subunit ribosomal RNA
Source: RNAcentral